GACGAACGCUGGCGGCGUGCUUAACACAUGCAAGUCGAACGGAAAGGCGCUGUUAGCGUGGUGUGCUCGAGUGGCGCACGGGUAAGUAACAGGAGAGUAACCUGAACUUGCCUUAGGGAUAACUUUAGGCAACUGGGACUAAUACCGGAUAGGAGCUCACGCUGCCUGGUGGGUGCUGGAAAGAUGCGGCGGAGGGCGAUGGGAUAGCGGCUUAUCACCCGGUUGGUGGGGUAGUGGCUUACCAAGGGAUAGACGGGUAGCCGGCCUGAGAGGGUGACCGGCCACAUUGGGACUGAGCUACGGCCGGGAGUCCUACGGGAUGCAGGAGUGGGGAAGAGUGCACGAUGCGCCGAAGCCGCAUGCAGCAUCGCCGCGUGAGGGAUGACGGCCUUCGUGUUGUAGACCGCUUUCGCCGGUGCCGAAGCGUGAGUGACGGUAAUGUAUAAAGAAGCACCGGCUAACUACGUG
This 468-nucleotide ribosomal RNA is filed under the name uncultured bacterium. RNAcentral describes it as "partial 16S ribosomal RNA". It matches the Rfam family "Bacterial small subunit ribosomal RNA", at positions 28 to 507 of the family's 1533-position model. The record is from RNAcentral.